GGGCGGUUAGCUCAGUCAGUUAGAGGGUGGUGCUGAUAACACUGAGGUCAUGGGUUCCAUCCCCGUUUGGUCCC
This 74-nucleotide transfer RNA is filed under the name Apaloderma vittatum (bar-tailed trogon). It matches the Rfam family "tRNA". Rfam says of the family: Transfer RNA (tRNA) molecules are approximately 80 nucleotides in length. Lineage: Eukaryota; Metazoa; Chordata; Aves; Trogoniformes; Trogonidae. The record is from Rfam by way of RNAcentral.